Molecule: unclassified non-coding RNA, 314 nt
Filed under: fungal sp.
Lineage: Eukaryota; Fungi
Description: partial internal transcribed spacer region
Rfam family: Eukaryotic small subunit ribosomal RNA (bases 1-46)
Source: RNAcentral
AAGUCGUAACAAGGUUUCCGUAGGUGAACCUGCGGAAGGAUCAUUACCAUAGUGUUUGACACAACUGAAGCCCUGCGCUUUCCAACGAGAAUAGCAGGCACAACAACCCAUGAGCAAGUGCAGCGCGGUUCCGCGUUGUACGAGGGAAAGAGAAUCAUGCUGAUAUGAGUGAAUCUUUCUAGCGCCGUUCCCCCAACGAUGCUUGCGCGUCGGCGGGGAGCUCUGAGGACGGACUCGGUGACUUUCACCGAAACCCUGUGCUUGAAAAGGAAUAAACAAUGCAGUACAACUGCAAACGGUGGAUCACUCGGCUC